RNAcentral lists this ribosomal RNA (404 nucleotides) under uncultured bacterium. RNAcentral's name for it is "bacterial SSU rRNA". It matches the Rfam family "Bacterial small subunit ribosomal RNA", at positions 355 to 775 of the family's 1533-position model. The record is from RNAcentral.
UGAGGAAUAUUGCACAAUGGGCGAAAGCCUGAUGCAGCAACGCCGCGUGAGGGACGAAGGCCUUCGGGUCGUAAACCUCUUUUCUGGGGGACGAGUAAGGACGGUACCUCAGGAAUAAGUCUCGGCUAACUACGUGCCAGCAGCCGCGGUAAAACGUAGGAGGCGGGCGUUACCCGGAUUUACUGGGCGUAAAGCGUACGCAGGUGGCUUCGUGAGUCGGACAUGAAAGCUCCCGGCUUAACUGGGAGAGGUUGUUCGAUACUGCGGGGCCUGAGGUUGGGAGAGGGACGUGGAAUUCCCGGUGUAGUGGUGGAAUGCGUAGAUAUCGGGAGGAACACCAGUGGCGCAAGCGGCGUCCUGGCCCACACCUGACGCUGAGGUACGAAAGCGUGGGUAGCAGACAG